GGUGAGUAACACGUGGGUGAUCUGCCUGCACUUCGGGAUAAGCUUGGGAAACUGGGUCUAAUACCGGAUAGGAGCCAUCUUUAGUGUGGUGGUUGGAAAGUUUUUUCGGUGUAGGAUGAGCUCGCGGCCUAUCAGCUUGUUGGUGGGGUAAUGGCCUACCAAGGCGGCGACGGGUAGCCGGCCUGAGAGGGUGUACGGCCACAUUGGGACUGAGAUACGGCCCAG
This 225-nucleotide ribosomal RNA is filed under the name uncultured Actinomycetales bacterium. RNAcentral's name for it is "partial 16S ribosomal RNA". It matches the Rfam family "Bacterial small subunit ribosomal RNA", at positions 105 to 334 of the family's 1533-position model. The record is from RNAcentral. Lineage: Bacteria; Bacillati; Actinomycetota; Actinomycetes; Actinomycetales.